RNAcentral lists this ribosomal RNA (252 nucleotides) under uncultured bacterium. RNAcentral describes it as "partial 16S ribosomal RNA". It matches the Rfam family "Bacterial small subunit ribosomal RNA", at positions 524 to 776 of the family's 1533-position model. The record is from RNAcentral.
UACGGAGGAUGCGAGCGUUAUCCGGAUUUAUUGGGUUUAAAGGGUGCGUAGGCGGACUGUCAAGUCAGCGGUAAAAUUGAGAGGCUCAACCUCUUCCCGCCGUUGAAACUUGUGGUCUUGAGUGGAUGAGAAGUACGCGGAAUGCGUGGUGUAGCGGUGAAAUGCAUAGAUAUCACGCAGAACUCCGAUUGCGAAGGCAGCGUACCGGCAUCCAACUGACGCUGAGGCACGAAAGCGUGGGGAUCAAACAGG